CCUACGGGAGGCAGCAGUGAGGAAUAUUGGUCAAUGGGCGCGAGCCUGAACCAGCCAAGUCGCGUGAGGGAAGACGGUCCUAUGGAUUGUAAACCUCUUUUGUCGGGGAGCAAAAGACGCCACGCGUGGCGUUCCGAGAGUACCCUACGAAAAAGCAUCGGCUAACUCCGUGCCAGCAGCCGCGGUAAUACGGAGGAUGCGAGCGUUAUCCGGAUUUAUUGGGUUUAAAGGGUGCGCAGGCGGAAGAUGAAGUCAGCGGUAAAAUUGAGGGGCUAAACCGCUUCGAGCCGUUGAAACUGGUGGGCUGGAGUGAGCGAGAGGUAUGCGGAAUGCGUGGUGUAGCGGUGAAAUGCAUAGAGAUCACGCAGAACUCCGAUUGCGAAGGCAGCAUACCGGCGCUCAACUGACGCUCAUGCACGAAAGUGUGGGGAUCGAACAGGAUUAGAUACCCGAGUAGUC
RNAcentral lists this ribosomal RNA (459 nucleotides) under uncultured bacterium. RNAcentral's name for it is "partial 16S ribosomal RNA". It matches the Rfam family "Bacterial small subunit ribosomal RNA", at positions 338 to 795 of the family's 1533-position model. The record is from RNAcentral.